GGGGGCUGAAAUGAACUCUGUGAGGAUUCUUAGCUUUGGUGGUUUAAUGCUCUAUUUUUGUGCUUGUUGGCCUCCUGCCAGGUGGCGGCGCUUUCCGGAGAGCAUCAGCUGUGGUAACAUGGAGAGAAACCAGAGAGUGGGUGGGGCUUUAGAACUUCCAAGACAGAGGCUCUGGAAGCCUCUGUCUUCAGCUACCAGAGUGGGUAGGGAAGGACCAUCAAGUGGGGGCAGGGCUAGGUGUGUCUGAGCUCAGACUCUCCUUGGGUGAGUCUUGCUGUGGCUGCUGUGGGGGAGGGGGGGGUGAGGUUCCCAGGUGAAUAGAGUUGUGUACCUAGGAGGAUAAUGGCUGCCUCUGCUGAGUCAUGCAGGUUGUUAGGGAAGUGAGGGAAAGCUGGCAGUCACAGGCCUCACCCAGCUCCCAUGCAAUCCAAAUGGCCAGUCUCACUCUCACCAUGCCCCCUCUAAAGCAUUGAGUCUGUUUCCAAGCAGUGGGUAAGCAGGGGUGAGAACUUGCCGCAGGCUACCCACCUCCCAGCUGUGAAAGAAAAGGGCUUUCGUUCUUCCCCCACCUGUGGAGUCUACACGCUGGAUUUGUGCCCUCCCUUGAGUUCUGGCCAGGAGGCUUCUCCACCUGUUCAAAUUGUUAUAAAGUUCAGCUGGAGACUUCCUUCUCUCCGUGGCAUUUUCCUCAUGCCUCUGGCCACCCUCCCAAAGGAUCCCUGUGAGGCCAGGCAGGAAUGGCCUGCUUGGGGACCCAGCAAGCUUCUAGGGCCUUUGCUGCUGCUUCCUCUACCCCUGUAUUUCGCUCGGCUCUCUAAAUGGACUCAGCUCCAGACAGGCUGCAUGGAGAUUGUAGCAUGAAUGCAGAUAUUGGAAAUUUACUGGAUGUAUGAUCAGACAAACCAAUUGAAGUGGAGAAGAGAACCAAUCAGCCAAAUCAUUACAGAAGUUGCACCACUGCCUGAAAUAUCUUGACUGAUUCUAUAUAAGUUGAAUUUUUGCCGAAUAAAUUCUGAAAAUAAUUACAAGCUUCCUUUUGAUUUGAAUGUUACACAUCAAGUUCUAGUAAGAGCUAAUUUUACAUCAUUGACAGAUAACAAAAUAGAAGGAACAAAGUGCCCUUUGAGUUAAGGGCACUCCAAUGUCCCGGAAUUUAACCUUUUUGUCAGAUCAAUAAGGUUUAGUGCAACUAGCCAGACACCUGUCC
Molecule: long non-coding RNA, 1207 nt
Filed under: Homo sapiens (human)
Lineage: Eukaryota; Metazoa; Chordata; Mammalia; Primates; Hominidae
Description: HSALNT0159713
Source: RNAcentral